CAUAAACUGACCUUUAGGGAGAAAAGUGUAAGCAGAGGAACCCGUGGCUGGCUGGCUGUAAGCGGAACUCUGGGAGUCAAUAAGUUCCUGGCUUCAGAGUCGAGCCCUCUGCAGUGACUUUCAGAUCCUUGCAAACCUGUAUGAGCAAUGACAGGAUAUACCACCAGGUUGAGAUGUAGUUUAAAAACGUGAUAAAACAUACAAGAAAUGGGAGAGCACCUGACCUGAUUUCCUCAUAUUGAAGCCUAGAGAGGGGAGAGCCUGAGAACUCACCACAAUGAUUCCUUUUGUUGACUGAGGCUGAGGUGAAAGUGGGAAAGGUGAAUGCACACAGAAGUGAAAGUAAGAAGUAACUUUGUAUCCUAGUGCAAAUUGCCCUUCCGUGGCGUGGCCCCAACUGGUUACUCCCUGUGGUUACCUCCUGCUCACACCUUUCUUUCACUUGUAAUAUCUUCAGUUCCACACCAUAAGCAAGCAGUUGUCCUCAGUUGUCCUCUGCAUUGAUCCCCUGGAGGCCAACAAAGCAUUAAUAGUCUUUCACCUAUGCGGGUUCUUUGAAAACAGGUCAGGCUGCAUUUUUGUUGUUAUACUUCUCCCGCCACCAUUCUGCAGAAGAGCAUGACUUUUGCUAGCCUCUGAAGGACUAGUCUCCUGACAGAGAAUCAGCCAUUGUGUGGCCCUCUCCUACACUGACUCUUGGCUUGGCUAGCUUUGACCAAGCGGAUAUCAGCAUGGAGCCGAGUUUGAUUGUGAAUCCGUUGUGGAGGUCUGAUGAGUGCCUCUAUAGUUGAGACUCGUCUUCUUGGAACACCAGUCUCUCUCAGGCUUCAUUGGCAUCUCAGGCUUCAAUGUUGUACAAUCAGAAGCCCAGAUUAGGUGUGCAAUGGACAUUGGGAAGGGAAUAUACAUGCUCACUGAGCAAGCACUUGGGAGAUGGCUAACAUCGAUUCUUUGGAUGCGUGGGAGACAAUCCUCCAAACCUCAUGAACAUACUGCAGCUUCUUCAAAAAUGACCUUGAAUGACCUUCUUCAGCAAGUUCUGCCCAUGUUCCAAAGAAGCUGCAAAAACAUAUUGCUACCAUUUUACCCAUAGUGAUAUGCUAUGGAUAAGCAUAAUAUACUUCCUCUGCGAUCUA
Long non-coding RNA from Rattus norvegicus (Norway rat), 1136 nucleotides. RefSeq lists it as uncharacterized. The record is from RefSeq and is a predicted model, not a curated record. Lineage: Eukaryota; Metazoa; Chordata; Mammalia; Rodentia; Muridae.